This 616-nucleotide ribosomal RNA is filed under the name uncultured bacterium. Its description in RNAcentral is "bacterial SSU rRNA". It matches the Rfam family "Bacterial small subunit ribosomal RNA", at positions 338 to 951 of the family's 1533-position model. The record is from RNAcentral.
CCUACGGGAGGCAGCAGUAAGGAAUAUUGGUCAAUGGACGAAAGUCUGAACCAGCCAUGCCGCGUGAAGGAUUAAGGCCCUCUGGGUUGUAAACUUCUUUUAUCUGGGACGAAAAAAGGGUAUUCUUACUCACUUGACGGUACCAGAGGAAUAAGCACCGGCUAACUCCGUGCCAGCAGCCGCGGUAAUACGGAGGGUGCAAGCGUUAUCCGGAUUUACUGGGUUUAAAGGGUGCGUAGGUGGGCUUGUAAGUCAGUGGUGAAAUCUCCGGGCUUAACCCGGAAACUGCCAUUGAUACUAUAGGUCUUGAAUUAUCUGGAGGUAAGCGGAAUAUGUCAUGUAGCGGUGAAAUGCUUAGAUAUGACAUAGAACACCAAUUGCGAAGGCAGCUUACUACGGAUACAUUGACACUGAGGCACGAAAGCGUGGGGAUCAAACAGGAUUAGAUACCCUGGUAGUCCACGCCCUAAACGAUGGAUACUCGACAUCAGCGAUACACUGUUGGUGUCUGAGCGAAAAGCAUUAAGUAUCCCACCUGGGAAGUACGAUCGCAAAGAUUGAAACUUCAAAAGGAAAUUGACGGCNGAGAGNGCGACGGACGACACGAGGGAGGAGG